GUCCAGACUCCUACGGGAGGCAGCAGUGAGGAAUAUUGGUCAAUGGCCGAGAGGCUGAACCAGCCAAGUCGCGUGAGGGAAGACGGCCCUACGGGUUGUAAACCUCUUUUGUCGGGGAGCAAAAGACGCCACGCGUGGCGUUCCGAGAGUACCCGAAGAAAAAGCAUCGGCUAACUCCGUGCCAGCAGCCGCGGUAAUACGGAGGAUGCGAGCGUUAUCCGGAUUUAUUGGGUUUAAAGGGUGCGCAGGCGGAAGAUCAAGUCAGCGGUAAAAUUGAGAGGCUCAACCUCUUCGAGCCGUUGAAACUGGCAGUCUCGAGUUGGAGAGAAGUAUGCGGAAUGCGCGGUGUAGCGGUGAAAUGCAUAGAUAUCGCGCAGAACUCCGAUUGCGAAGGCAGCAUGCCGGCUCCACACUGACGCUGAGGCACGAAAGCGUGGGUAUCGAACAGGAUUAGAUACCCUUGUA
Molecule: ribosomal RNA, 465 nt
Filed under: uncultured bacterium
Lineage: Bacteria
Description: bacterial SSU rRNA
Rfam family: Bacterial small subunit ribosomal RNA
Source: RNAcentral